This 406-nucleotide ribosomal RNA is filed under the name uncultured bacterium. RNAcentral's name for it is "partial 16S ribosomal RNA". It matches the Rfam family "Bacterial small subunit ribosomal RNA", at positions 30 to 526 of the family's 1533-position model. The record is from RNAcentral.
AUCGAACGCUGGCGGCAGGCCUAACACAUGCAAGUCGAACGAGUGGCGGACGGGUGAGUAAUGUCUGGGAAACUGCCUGAUGGUGGGGGAUAACUACUGGAAACGGUAGCUAAUCCCGCAUACCAUCAGAUGUGCCCAGAUGGGAUUAGCUAGUUGUUGGGGUAACGGCUCACCAAGGCGACGAACCCUAGCUGGUCUGAGAGGAUGACCAGCAACACUGGAACUGAGACACGGUCCAAACUCCUACGGAAGGCAGCAGUGGGGAAUAGUGCACAAUGGGCGCAAGCCUGAUGCGGCCAGGCCGCGUGUAUGAAGAAGGCCUUCGGGUUGUAAAGUACUUUCAGCGGGGAGACGUUACCCGCAGAAGAAGCACCGGCUAACUCCGUGCCAGCAGCCGCGGUAAUAC